Molecule: long non-coding RNA, 239 nt
Filed under: Sus scrofa (pig)
Lineage: Eukaryota; Metazoa; Chordata; Mammalia; Artiodactyla; Suidae
Description: lncRNA (ENSSSCG00040069439.1)
Source: RNAcentral
AUGUCAUUCUCUUUCCACUUUUUUCGCUCCCCAGGGAUGGCAGGAAACCUGAGGGGAAUGAAUUCUACGGCAUUUAGAGAGAUGUUUGGCAUAUUCAGACAUGGUUGUUUUAAUCCAAAGUUUAAGAAAGAUGGGGACCGGGAGGGAGACUAUACAAAGAAGACAGGAAGUCAGACUACUGGAAGUUUCCUCAGGCUCGCCACGGGGGAGGAUGCAGCUGCCUUCCACGUGGCCGUUCC